CAAUGUCUGCAUCCACAGCAGGGAAAACAGAAAAGGGGAAUUGGAUUUCAGCAGAAAAACCAGAAGGAUCAAGAAACCCAAAUAAUCGCCCGAUCCCAGGGGAGUUAAAGCCUGCACCAGAAUGCAAUGGGCACAAGGUAGAAAUACACACCAGACUGGUUGACAAUCCAUCCUAUGAAUGUUUUUGCAUUCAAGAUCAAAAGACUCCAGGUGGGUGAGCUUGGCACUUCCUUUAUCCUCCCCGUUGCCAUACUAUGGAGGACCCGUGUCUGACGCCGUGUUCCCUUGGACUCAAAACUUAUGUUAGAUAAAGAGUAAAUGCUGGCUCCAAACCAUUUACUUUGUUUGUUACUUUGUUGUGACUAUAUACUAAGUUUAUG
Molecule: long non-coding RNA, 380 nt
Organism: Conger conger (European conger)
Lineage: Eukaryota; Metazoa; Chordata; Actinopteri; Anguilliformes; Congridae
Exons: 3
Source: RefSeq, a predicted model, not a curated record